This 240-nucleotide unclassified non-coding RNA is filed under the name soil metagenome. RNAcentral's name for it is "partial contains 5.8S ribosomal RNA, internal transcribed spacer 2, and large subunit ribosomal RNA". The record is from RNAcentral.
AACGCACGAGACCUGCGGACCUGCGGAGGGAUCAUUAACAAUUGUCCACAUCAUGGAUAAUUAUAUAUCCAUAUCCACCUUGUGUGCAUCAUUGAAGCGUUUGUUGGCAGGUUUUUCAAGUUCUCUGAGCUUGAUUCGGUUGUAUUUGCCAGGCCUGCCAAUUUUAUGUUUAAAACUUGUCUCAACAUUGCUUGUCUGAAAUUGAUUUAUGAUAAUAAAUACAACUUUCAACAAUGGAUC